AGGAGAUGAAAAAUGCUAUAUCACCAAUUAUAUUGAAAAUGCAAUGUUCCAAUAAUCAACUUGUGUAUCAAAAAGGCACUACAAGGCAUAGCACAUAUGCUACAAGACCCAAAAAUGAUCACUUCCAUUCAUGCUUGUGCUAUACAACAACACAAAUAUAACCUCUCUCUUGUUCACCGGCAAACAAGCAAAAAUGCAAAAUAACAAUGUACAUCAGUUUUCUGUCCAAGCUACCGUCAGUAAUUCGAU
Molecule: long non-coding RNA, 249 nt
Filed under: Oryza brachyantha (malo sina)
Lineage: Eukaryota; Viridiplantae; Streptophyta; Magnoliopsida; Poales; Poaceae
Description: long non-coding RNA (OBRA_LNC003631)
Source: RNAcentral